RNAcentral lists this ribosomal RNA (497 nucleotides) under uncultured bacterium. RNAcentral describes it as "partial 16S ribosomal RNA". It matches the Rfam family "Bacterial small subunit ribosomal RNA", at positions 28 to 507 of the family's 1533-position model. The record is from RNAcentral.
GAUGAACGCUGGCGGCGUGCCUAAUACAUGCAAGUCGAGCGAACGGACGAGGAGCUUGCUUCUCUGAUGUUAGCGGCGGACGGGUGAGUAACACGUGGAUAACCUACCUAUAAGACUGGGAUAACUUCGGGAAACCGGAGCUAAUACCGGAUGAUAUUUUGAACCGCAUGGUUCAAAAGUGAAAGACGGUCUUGCUGUCACGUAUAGAUGGAUCCGGGCUGCAUUAGCUAGUUGGUAAGGUAAUGGCUUACCAAGGCAACGAUGCAUAGCCGACCUGAGAGGGGGAUCGGCAACACUGGAACGGAGACACGGCCCAGACUCCUACGGGAGGCAGCAGUAGGGAAUCUUCCGCAAUGGGCGAAAGCCUGACGGAGCAACGCCGCGUGAGUGAUGAAGGUCUUCGGAUCGUAAAACUCUGUUAUUAGGGAAGAACAUAUGUGUAAGUAACUGUGCACAUCUUGACGGUACCUAAUCAGAAAGCCACGGCUAACUACGUG